This 263-nucleotide small RNA is filed under the name Arabidopsis thaliana (thale cress). RNAcentral's name for it is "ATSL216040". Lineage: Eukaryota; Viridiplantae; Streptophyta; Magnoliopsida; Brassicales; Brassicaceae. The record is from RNAcentral.
GCAUUUUAUGACUCUUCAUAUUAUCAUAUAGAUAUUUUAAUUAAAAAGUGUACAAAAAAUCAUACAUAGAGGGUCCGAUUGGUAACCUACGAAGGAAUACAAAGAAUGAAGAGGAACAUGACUAAAAAAGAACAAAAAAGAAAAGAAAAAAUGAUAAAAUAGGAAUGAAAAGGAAUCAGUGUAGAGGAAAAAUAGAACAAAUGUUACUGUAAAUGAUAACAAAAAAUAGAAUAAAUAGUAACAAAAAUUAAAAAUAAAGAAAU